UAACAAUAUUAGGUGUAUUUAUAACCCCUUCUGGAUAAAUGUAUUCAUCCUACCCACUGAUCCUGGCAAGCAGAUGCCCAGAAACACUCUGUCGCUAUAUAAAUG
Thalassophryne amazonica is the source of this 105-nucleotide long non-coding RNA. RefSeq lists it as uncharacterized. The transcript has 3 exons. Lineage: Eukaryota; Metazoa; Chordata; Actinopteri; Batrachoidiformes; Batrachoididae. The record is from RefSeq and is a predicted model, not a curated record.